AUACGGAGGAUGCAAGCGUUAUCCGGAUUUAUUGGGUUUAAAGGGUGCGUAGGCUGUUCGGAAAGUCAGGGGUGAAAGCCCGGCGCCUAACGCCGGAACUGCCUUUGAUACUUCCGAGCUGGAAUACGGAUGCCGUGGGAGGAAUGAGUAGUGUAGCGGUGAAAUGCAUAGAUAUUACUCAGAACACCGAUUGCGAAGGCAUCUCACGAAUCCGUCAUUGACGCUGAGGCACGAAAGCGUGGGGAUCAAACAGGAUUAGAUACCCUGGUAGUCCACGCAGUAAACGAUGAUGGCUAACCGCUGGUUUUUUCGGAUCAGUGGCCAAGCGAAAGCGAUAAGCCAUCCACCUGGGGAGUACGACCGCAAGGUUGAAACUCAAAUGAAUUGGCGGGG
This 393-nucleotide ribosomal RNA is filed under the name uncultured bacterium. Its description in RNAcentral is "partial 16S ribosomal RNA". It matches the Rfam family "Bacterial small subunit ribosomal RNA", at positions 523 to 918 of the family's 1533-position model. The record is from RNAcentral.